CAAAUCCGUAUGGAGGGUUCCCAGAUCGCAAAUUUCAAAGAGAGUACAUUUCCUACUUGAAAAAGAGUACAAAAGAGUAAAUUAUGCGGAAGUGGAAAAGACUAGGUAAAAUUAAUUUUGCAGAAAGAAAGGCUUCAAUCAUUAAAAAAUUCUUCACGAUUUAUGUUCUAACAAUUUCAACAUUUGUGACGAGUUUAUGAUUAUUGAGCAGUGAAACUCCGAAUUAAGUUUUGCGCUUGAGACGCUUUCAUUAAAUCAUAUUAAGCUUCAAUCGUCACUAUUGUUUCAAGGCUUCAGGCACCCCGUUCUUUGACCAUUAGUCAGAAUUUCUG
This is a long non-coding RNA of Bradysia coprophila, 332 nucleotides long. The record is from RefSeq and is a predicted model, not a curated record. Lineage: Eukaryota; Metazoa; Arthropoda; Insecta; Diptera; Sciaridae.